AGUGAACGCUGGCGGUAGGCCUAACACAUGCAAGUCGAACGGCAGCACAGGAGAGCUUGCUCUCUGGGUGGCGAGUGGCGGACGGGUGAGGAAUACAUCGGAAUCUACUUUUUCGUGGGGGCUAACGUAGGGAAACUUACGCUAAUACCGCAUACGACCUACGGGUGAAAGCAGGGGACCUUCGGGCCUUGCGCGAUUGAAUGAGCCGAUGUCGGAUUAGGUAGUUGGCGGGGUAAAGGCCCACCAAGGCGACGAUCCGUAGCUGGUCUGAGAGGGUGAGCAGCCACACUGGAACUGAGACACGGUCCAGACUCCUACGGGAGUCAGCAGUGGGGAAUAUUGGACAAUGGGCGCAAGCCUGAUCCAGCCAUACCGCGUGGGUGAAGAAGGCCUUCGGGUUGUAAAGCCCUUUUGUUGGGAAAGAAAUCCAGCGGGCUAAUACCCGGUUGGGAUGACGGUACCCAAAGAAUAAGCACCGGCUAACUUCGUGCCAGCCGCCGCCGUAA
This 506-nucleotide ribosomal RNA is filed under the name uncultured bacterium. Its description in RNAcentral is "partial 16S ribosomal RNA". It matches the Rfam family "Bacterial small subunit ribosomal RNA", at positions 29 to 523 of the family's 1533-position model. The record is from RNAcentral.